Molecule: non-coding RNA, 1076 nt
Organism: Myodes glareolus (Bank vole)
Lineage: Eukaryota; Metazoa; Chordata; Mammalia; Rodentia; Cricetidae
Source: RefSeq, a predicted model, not a curated record
AUUAAAUUUAGGAUUUCUGGAAGAGUAGCUAAUGGCUGCUCUUAGCUGCUGAGCCAUCUCUCGGGCCCCCUCCACUUUCUUCUUAAAGAAACAAAAUCUUACUAUAUAGCUCAAACUAGCCCCAAAGACCAAAGAUUGCAAUCCGUCUGCAUCUUCCUAGUAGCUGAGAAUAUAUAGCUGGCAGCAUGCUCAACUUUUUUUUGUUUUGUUUUGUUUCCUCCCAAGACAAGGUUUCUCUGUACCUUUGGAGCCUGUUCUGAAACUCACUCUGCAGACCAGGCUGGACUACAACUCAGAGCUCCAGAUCCUCCUGUCUCCACCCCAGAGUGCUGGAAUUAAAGGCAUGAGCCACCACCAUGCAUGCUCAACAUUUUUAACUCCAACUAAAAGAUUAUAAAAGCCACCACUCAACAACCCAUUAUAGGAAUGCCAACAUGGAAAGGGAGAAGAGGAAGAAUCAAGACAUCAGUGUUUUCAGAAACCUGAGGAAUUCAAUUCUCUGCUUUCUAUUAAAGAAGUCCUGAAACUUAAGAAGCCCACCAGUACUAGAACUUGACAAGUUCACCCCUGGCUGUGUCGAUGCUGGCUGGAGUGCAGGGAAGGACCUACAUAUAGGCAGAUGCUUAUCAGAAAGGUCAAGUCUUAAAGAUGGAUCAUUAAAAAUCUGCAACUUAAGACAACUCUCAAAAUAGUCUAGCAAUUACACAAAAAAAUGAAUUGAAAUACACCUGUAAAUAGAUAACUUUUGAAACAGUCUAACAAUUAUACAAGAUAUUAAUUGAAAUAAGACCUGUAGUCAUUAAUGCCCAUGUUAGAUGAAAUUUACAUAUACAGUAGAAUCCCCAACUGAGCACAACUCAAGUCAGACGUGCCAAUUAGUAAUUAGAGGCAUAAAAAUUCUGAUAAAAUUGAAAUAGGAUUAAGCCACUAACACUAUAGUUGGUUAGCAGCCAAAGCAAGCAUUAAAUAAGGAAGGAAAGCAACAAGAGAUAAAUAGCUAAGUACUUUGCUAUCUCUUUUCCCUGAAAAAGGGGUGGGAUACACUACAGACAUUCUUGUGAAUAACCUCUAAACAU